This 84-nucleotide unclassified non-coding RNA is filed under the name Pseudomonas migulae. Lineage: Bacteria; Pseudomonadati; Pseudomonadota; Gammaproteobacteria; Pseudomonadales; Pseudomonadaceae. The record is from RNAcentral.
GUAUGAGCCGGCUUGCUGGCGAUGAACGACACGCGGUUUACCUCGUUAACCGCGUGCCUGGAUCGCCAGCAAGCCGGCUCCUGC